AUACAAAAGGGCUUUGUAAAAAAAUAACAAAUGAAAAUGAGAAAAAGACAAGCGAAAAUAAUAAUAAGAAGAUUUUUCAUAAAACUGACUUUUUAAAAGGGGUAGGACUGGGAGAAGGAAAAGGUAUUAACAACAUAUCUAACGAAAUAGAUAAUAUAGAUUUGGAUAAUAUAUUUAAUGAAGAUGAAAAUGCAUUUAGUCAGGAUGAAAACGAUUUCAAUGAAGAUGCUAUUGAGGCUACAUAUGACUUCCAGAAAUUUUGUGAAAAAGAAAUGAAAAGUAUGGACGAGGUUGGAACUAAUAAUAAUACAAAUAAACUCGAGAACGAACAAAAUAAUAUUAAUAUGGACCCAGGCGCAAACCAAAACCCAGACUCGGAUUUAGGAAAUAAUAAAAAUAGUAAUAAGGAUGACAAUAAAGAAAACGACAAUAAAAAUGAGAACAAAACACAUAGAGAUGAUUUUGAUAAUGAUUUUGAUAAUAAUAAUAAUAAUAAUAAUAAUCAAAUGGAAGAAACUAUUGAUGAUGUUUAUGAAAAUAUUAAUGGUAAAGGAACAGUAAGUCAUAAUGAGUCCUGCGAUGUUAUGCAUAAUAACAAAAAGGAAAACAAGAAUGAAACAGGAGGUGAUAGUGAGAAAGAUGAUAUAAAUAAGGACAAGCAAGAUACAUCAAAAAUGAAACAAAAUGAGCAUUCGAAAAGCGAUGAGCAGAUAGAAAAGGGUGACCCAACUGAGGACAAGAGUGACCCAAAUGAGGACAGGAGUGACCCAAAUGUUGACAGGAGUGACCCAACUGAGGACAAGAGUGACCCAAAUGUUGACAGGAGUGACCCAACUGAGGACAAAGGUGACCCAACUGAGGACAAAGGUGACCCAAAUGUUGACAGGAAUAAAAAAAAAGAAGACUUGCUUAACCACAAUCAAGAUAAAACUGAUAACAAAACAAAUAUCAACGACAAUUUAAAUUAUGAGGAAUUACCUGGCACAGAUGAAAAUAAUAAUUGUGAUUUACCAUAUGAUCAACAAAAUGAUAAUAAUAUUAACCCUAGCUGGAUGGACAAUAAACAAAUGACUGAUAUUAGCAAUGACUCCAACCUAACUGAUAAUAAUAAUAAUAAUAAUAAUAAUAAUAAUAAUAAUAAUAAUAAUAGUAAUAAUAACUUUGACUUUGGUUUUGAUUUUAACUCUGACUUAGAAAUCGAAUCAAGUGAUUUUUCUGGCUGUGCUAGUGAAAAAACGUAUAGUAUUUGUGACGCAGAAGAUUCAGAUGAAUAUGCGAGUGACACCAACGAUAAUAAAAAUUUGACGCAAAAGAAGGAAGAUGGUACGAAAAAAAAUAACAACGACACGAAUAAAAAUAAAUUAAACGAAAAAGAACUUAACGAAAAUUGUUACUUAAAUGAACGUAUUGACAAAAAUAUGGUAGACAUAGAAGAAGACGAAAAUUUACCUUUUGCUGGAGACGAACAUGAACAGCAAGAAAUGGAACUACACUCGGAUAUUGAAGAUGCUAGCCAUAGUGAUAAUAAUAAAAUAGAACAAACAAAGGUUACAAAUAAAGAUAUGGAUAAAAAUGACGACACACAAAAUGAAUUACAAGAUGAGGAACAGAAUAAAAAUAAUAACCUUACAGUGAAAGAAAAUAUGUUACAAGAAAAUAGAGAUGCGUUAAAUGACAACAUUGAUGAUGAAUUAAAUGAUAGUGGUAAUAAUGAUGUGAAUAAUAAGAAAAAUUUUAUAGCUGAUGAAGUCGAAGCGGAAAAGCAGAAUGAUGCUGGGACUGAUCAAGGUUUUAAUGAAAAGGAAAAUGAGACUGUAACAGUGGACACCCAGAAAGGAAAAGGAAUAGACGAACAAACAGACGAACAAACAGACGAACAAACAGACGAACAAACAGACGAACAAACAGACGAACAAACAGGCGAACAAAUAGGCGAACAAACAGGCGAACAAAUAGGCGAACAAACAGACGAACAAACAGACGAACAAACAGACGAACAAAUAGGCGAACAAACAGGCGAACAAACAGGCGAACACACAGACGAACACACAGACGAACAAACAGGCGAACAAACAGACGAACAAACAGACGCACUUAACACAAAUGAUCAUUCAGAUUUUACCCCAGUUGAAAAAGAAAAUACAAAAAAAGAACAUAUCGAAGCGGAACAGAAUUAUAAAAAUGGUUUUCCUGCUCUUAGAUAUGAUGAAAUAGAAAAAAAUAAAAAAACAAAGAAUAUUAUGAAUGAAUAUAGUGAUAAGGGUGGUCAGCAAAAUAAAAUAUCAGAUAAUGAUGUCGCUGAAGUUGUUAGUGAUAACGCUGAAGUUGGUAGUGAUGACGCUGAAGUUGGUAGUGAUAACGCUGAAGUUGGUAGUGAUAACGCUGAAGUUGGUAGUGAUAACGCUGAAGUUGGUAAUAAUAAAAUGAAUUAUACAAAAACGGGAAAUCAGGGUUAUGAGGGUGACAGUUACGACAACACCGAAAACAAAAACAACAGCAACAACAAAGCAGAAGAAGAAAAAGAUGGUAAUCUAUCAACCAGCAAUAAAUUUUCUUUUACUAUUGACAAAUGCAAUGUAUAUACGGAAAAUUUUAUUGAUAUAACUAAUUUUAUUCAAAAAAUAAAUAAAUAUUUAUCACAUAAUAUAGAUGAAAGUCGUACCUCUGAUAAUGGAAAUGAAACCUGUAGUUCUGACAAUGAGAAAAUGAAAAAUGAACAAAAGAAAGUAGGAGGAAAAAAUGACCAGAUGCAGCAAGAACAGAAAGAGCAACAUAAGAAAGAAUUUAGUAGUAAAAAAUAUAAUACUACGGGUAAAGAAAUAAAAGCCGAAUUUAACAGUGACAAUGAAAGAUGUGAAAUGAUGGACGAACUGAAAGAAGUUAAAGCAAGAGACAUGAAUCAAGGUGAAAUGAAACAAACAGAAAAUACAGAACCCACCAAAAUGAAUCAUAAAACGAGCAAGUUAGAUGCAACAAACGACAAAAAGGAGAACGAAUCAAAAAUUAUAAACAAAAAAAAAAUGAUAAAUAAGAAAGAUAGUAAGAAUAAAAAUAAGAAUAUUAACGACUUCGAUUGUGAUGAUGGUGUGUCAGAUAGGGUUACGUCAAAUGAAAGUAUUAAUAUAUAUUCGUCAGAAGAAGGCGAAGAAGAGCAUGAAAAUUAUAGCGAACACGACGACAAAAAUACUAAUCCUGAUGGUAAUGGUGAUGAUAAUAAUUAUGAGAAUAAUGGUGCUACUACUACUUCUAGCGAAAUGGAUUGUGACAAGGAUGAAAAGAAUAACAACACAGAUAGUGAUGAUGAUGAUGAUGAUGAUGAUGUAGAAAAAAUGGUGUCCAAAUUAAAACACGACUCGAACAAAAAUGAAAAUGAUUAUAACAACAAAGAAUGUUACAAAAUGUAUGAAAAUACAAAGGUGUUUGAAAAUAAAGAACACACGAGUGAAGAAAAUACAGACAAAUCAUUUGAAAACAAAUUAAUAAUUGAAACAAUAUAUUCCAAUACGAAUCAUAUUAUCAAUUCAGACAUUUGCAAUAGUAUAGGUAAUAAAG
Molecule: long non-coding RNA, 3552 nt
Organism: Piliocolobus tephrosceles (Ugandan red Colobus)
Lineage: Eukaryota; Metazoa; Chordata; Mammalia; Primates; Cercopithecidae
Source: Ensembl